UACGUAGGUGGCAAGCGUUGUCCGGAUUUAUUGGGCGUAAAGGGAACGCAGGCGGUCUUUUAAGUCUGAUGUGAAAGCCUUCGGCUUAACCGAAGUAGUGCAUUGGAAACUGGAAGACUUGAGUGCAGAAGAGGAGAGUGGAACUCCAUGUGUAGCGGUGAAAUGCGUAGAUAUAUGGAAGAACACCAGUGGCGAAAGCGGCUCUCUGGUCUGUAACUGACGCUGAGGUUCGAAAGCGUGGGUAGCAAACAGG
Molecule: ribosomal RNA, 253 nt
Filed under: uncultured bacterium
Lineage: Bacteria
Description: partial 16S ribosomal RNA
Rfam family: Bacterial small subunit ribosomal RNA
Source: RNAcentral